RNAcentral lists this long non-coding RNA (549 nucleotides) under Pongo abelii (Sumatran orangutan). RNAcentral describes it as "lincRNA". The record is from RNAcentral. Lineage: Eukaryota; Metazoa; Chordata; Mammalia; Primates; Hominidae.
ACAUAUCCUCCCUGCCUGGACCUUCAAAACAAUAUAAAACUGAAUGAAGGCAAUAAAAGAAGUCACAGGAGGAUUUUUGCAGAGCUUCCAUCCAGUUCAGAAACAAAGCAAUUCAAUACAUGUCUUCAAGAUUUCUAAAGGCAAUGACUUAUAGAACCUUGGAGAAUUGCCAAGAUUGCUGACUAGAUGUAGCCAGGAGAAAUAUCUCCCACUGAGAGACCGGGACACUGGAAAGACUAUAACACACCUCUGAGCAGAUCUUCUGAUGGAAAGCAUUAAGAGUGGAUGCAGAGAGGAUGCAGAUGCUGGGCUGAAGAGAGAGGAAGCUGGGAACCCAGUGUAGUGCAGCUGAGCCUCAGGACUUGGACCUGGCCCUCAGAGACUCCUGGGGGAAGGGUGAGUUUACAGGUGAGGAGUGGCCCGCUUUCACCAUGGACCCAUUCUGUUAGGUCCCUCAACCUCUAUGGGCAUCUGAGAUGGUAGGAAAAGCUGCUUAGAGAGGUCAUGUGGGCAAGACUCCAGCCUGUGCAGAGCCCAGAGUGGUGUCAG